CCGCCCAGCAGCAACGGCCUUCUAAGCCGUAGGUCACACGUUCGAAUCGUGUAGGGCGGGCCA
Molecule: transfer RNA, 63 nt
Filed under: Burkholderia pseudomallei
Lineage: Bacteria; Pseudomonadati; Pseudomonadota; Betaproteobacteria; Burkholderiales; Burkholderiaceae
Also listed under: 6 other names
Description: tRNA-Arg (TCT) (tRNA-Arg-TCT-2-1)
Source: RNAcentral